This is a small nucleolar RNA of Haliotis rufescens (red abalone), 72 nucleotides long. Lineage: Eukaryota; Metazoa; Mollusca; Gastropoda; Lepetellida; Haliotidae. The record is from RefSeq and is a predicted model, not a curated record.
AUGUCAUGUGAUGAGAUAAAGUUUACCGCCCCAGUCUGAUAAACUGUGACUGAUUGGUUUACAUCUGAAUGA